AGUGAACGCUGGCGGUAGGCCUAACACAUGCAAGUCGAACGGCAGCACAGAGGAGCUUGCUCCUUGGGUGGCGAGUGGCGGACGGGUGAGGAAUACAUCGGAAUCUACUCUGUCGUGGGGGAUAACGUAGGGAAACUUACGCUAAUACCGCAUACGACCUACGGGUGAAAGCAGGGGAUCUUCGGACCUUGCGCGAUUGCAUGAGCCGAUGUGGGAUUAGCUAGUUGGAGGGGUACAGGCCCACCAAGGCGACGAUCCGUAGCUGGUCUGAGGGGAUGAUCGGCCACACUGGAACUGAGAAACGGUCCAGACUCCUACGGGAGGCAGCAGGAGGGAAUAUUGGACAAUGGGCGCAAGCCUGAUCCAGCCAUACCGCGUGGGUGAAGAAGGCCUUCGGGUUGUAAAGCCCUUUUGUUGGGAAAGAAAUCCAGCUGGCUAAUAACCGGUUGGGAUGACGGUACCCAAAGAAUAAGCACCGGCUAACUUCGUGCCAGCCGCCGCCGUAA
Molecule: ribosomal RNA, 506 nt
Filed under: uncultured bacterium
Lineage: Bacteria
Description: partial 16S ribosomal RNA
Rfam family: Bacterial small subunit ribosomal RNA
Source: RNAcentral